GUAGACAUAGUUUAACGAAAACAUUAGAUUGUGAUUCUAAAGAAAGGGGUUAAACCCCCCUUGUCCACC
RNAcentral lists this transfer RNA (69 nucleotides) under Chaetodermis penicilligerus (prickly leatherjacket). Its description in RNAcentral is "tRNA-His". It matches the Rfam family "tRNA". Rfam says of the family: Transfer RNA (tRNA) molecules are approximately 80 nucleotides in length. Their secondary structure includes four short double-helical elements and three loops (D, anti-codon, and T loops). Lineage: Eukaryota; Metazoa; Chordata; Actinopteri; Tetraodontiformes; Monacanthidae. The record is from RNAcentral.